Molecule: small nuclear RNA, 135 nt
Organism: Salmo trutta (river trout)
Lineage: Eukaryota; Metazoa; Chordata; Actinopteri; Salmoniformes; Salmonidae
Gene: U1
Rfam family: U1 spliceosomal RNA
About the family: U1 is a small nuclear RNA (snRNA) component of the spliceosome (involved in pre-mRNA splicing). Its 5' end forms complementary base pairs with the 5' splice junction, thus defining the 5' donor site of an intron. There are significant differences in sequence and secondary structure between metazoan and yeast U1 snRNAs, the latter being much longer (568 nucleotides as compared to 164 nucleotides in human).
Source: Ensembl
GUACUUACCUGGCAGGUUUACCCAGGCGCAGCCAUUGCGCUCCAGUUUUUGUGUUCACCCCUGCGAAUUCCCCAAAUGUGAAUCUCAACGGCAUAAUUUAUGGUAGUGGGGGAACUGCGUUCACGCUUUCUCCUG